UACAGAGACUCCAAGCGUUAUUCGGAUUCACUGGGCGUAAAGGGUGCGCAGGCGGCCAAAUGUGUCAGAGGUGAAAUACUGCAGCUUAACUGUAGAACUGCCUUUGAAACUAUUUGGCUAGAGUAUCGGAGAGGUAAGCGGAAUUCCAGGUGUAGCAGUGAAAUGCGUAGAUAUCUGGAGGAACACCGAUGGCGAAGGCAGCUUACUGGACGAUUAUUGACGCUCAGGCACGAAGGCAUGGGGAGCGAAAGGG
This 253-nucleotide unclassified non-coding RNA is filed under the name uncultured Verrucomicrobiota bacterium. RNAcentral describes it as "uncultured Verrucomicrobia bacterium contains 16S-23S intergenic spacer region". It matches the Rfam family "Bacterial small subunit ribosomal RNA", at positions 524 to 776 of the family's 1533-position model. The record is from RNAcentral. Lineage: Bacteria; Pseudomonadati; Verrucomicrobiota.